This 345-nucleotide ribosomal RNA is filed under the name uncultured bacterium. Its description in RNAcentral is "partial 16S ribosomal RNA". It matches the Rfam family "Bacterial small subunit ribosomal RNA", at positions 338 to 682 of the family's 1533-position model. The record is from RNAcentral.
CCUACGGGUGGCAGCAGUGGGGAAUAUUGCACAAUGGGCGCAAGCCUGAUGCAGCGACGCCGCGUGCGGGAUGGAGGCCUUCGGGUUGUAAACCGCUUUUGUUCAAGGGCAAGGCACGGUCUUUGGCCGUGUUGAGUGGAUUGUUCGAAUAAGCACCGGCUAACUACGUGCCAGCAGCCGCGGUAAUACGUAGGGUGCACGCGUUAGCCGGAUUUAUUGGGCGUAAAGGGCGCGUAGGCGGUGCGGCGAGUCCGGUGUGAAAGUCCAUCGCUUAACGGUGGUGCCGCGCCGGGUACGGGCGGGCUUGAGUUCGGUAGGGGAGACUGGAAUUCCCUGUGUACCUGU